AGAGUUUGAUCCUAGCUCAGGAUGAACGCUGGCGGCGUGGAUAAGGCAUGCAAGUCGAGUGGGUUUAGACCCACGGCAAACGAGUUAGUAACGCGUAGGAAUCUGCCCUGAAGUCCGGAAUAACUCGGAGAAAUCCGAGAUAAUACCGGAUGGUUCCCGACCUCGCGUCGGGAUAAAGGUUGUUUGCUUUUGCAGACAAUUGCUUCGGGAGGAGCCUGCGUCCUAUCAGCUUGUUGGCAGGGUAAUGGCCUACCAAGGCAAUGACGGGUAGGGGAAGUGAGAACUUGUUCCCCAACGAUGGGACUGAGACACGGUCCAUACACCUACGGGUGGCUGCAGUCGAGAAUCUUCCACAAUGGGCGAAAGCCUGAUGGAGCGACGCCGCGUGAGUGAAGAAACCCUUCGGGGCGUAAAACUCUUUUAUAGGAGAACAAUCCCGACUUUAGGUCGGGAUGAGCGUAUUCUAUGAAUAAGGGGCGACAAACUUCGUGCCAGAAGUCUCGGUAAUGCGAAGGCCCCAAGCGUUAUCCGGAAUUAUUGGGCGUAAAGCGUGUGUAGGCGGUUUUGAUAGUGGCUGGUCAAAUCCCGGGGCUUAACUCCGGAACUGCCAGUCAAACGUUAAGACUAGAGCAAGCGAGAGGUUGAUGGAACUUACCAAGUAGGGGUGAAAUCCGUUGAUAUGGUAGGGAACACCAAAGGCGAAGGCAAUCAACUGGCGCUUAGCUGACGCUGAGACACGAAAGCGUGGGUAGCGAACGAGAUUAGAUACCUCGGUAGUCCACGCCCUAAACGAUGCCGACUAGCCGUUCGGAGUAUCGACCCUCUGAGUGGCGAAGCUAACGCGUUAAGUCGGCCGCCUGGGGAGUACGGCCGCAAGGCUAAAACUCAAAGGAAUAGACGGGGACUCGCACAAGCGGUGGAUCAUGUGGUUUAAUUCGACGGUACACGAGGAACCUUACCAGGGCUAGACAUCCUGAUGAAAUCCCUCCGAAAGGCGGGACCUCUUUUAGACAUCAGGACAGGUGAUGCACGGUUGUCGUCAGUUCGUACCGUGAGGCGUUCCUUUAAGUAGGGCAACGGACGCAACCCCUGUUCUGUGUUAUACGUGUCACAGAAGACUGCCUCCG
This 1127-nucleotide ribosomal RNA is filed under the name Candidatus Portnoybacteria bacterium CG10_big_fil_rev_8_21_14_0_10_43_39. Its description in RNAcentral is "bacterial SSU rRNA". It matches the Rfam family "Bacterial small subunit ribosomal RNA", at positions 8 to 1157 of the family's 1533-position model. The record is from RNAcentral. Lineage: Bacteria; Candidatus Portnoyibacteriota.